CGCGGCCUAUCAGCUUGUUGGAGAGGUAACGGCUCACCAAGGCAUCGACGGGUAGCUGGUCUGAGAGGAUGAUCAGCCACACUGGAACUGAGACACGGUCCAGACUCCUACGGGAGGCAGCAGUAGGGAAUCUUGCACAAUGGGCGAAAGCCUGAUGCAGCGACGCCGCGUGGGGGAUGAAGGCCUUCGGGUUGUAAACCCCUUUCAGUAGGGACGAAAAUGACGGUACCUACUGAAGAAGCUCCGGCCAACUACGUGCCAGCAGCCGCGGUAACACGUAGGGAGCAAGCGUUGUCCGGAUUUAUUGGGCGUAAAGAGCUCGUAGGUGGUUCGGUAAGUCGGAUGUGAAAACUCAAGGCUCAACCUUGAGACGCCAUCCGAUACUGCUGUGACUUGAGUUCGGUAGAGGAGUGUGGAAUUCCUGGUGUAGCGGUGAAAUGCGCAGAUAUCAGGAGGAACACCGACAGCGAAGGCAGCACUCUGGGCCGAUACUGACACUGAGGAGCGAAAGCAUGGGGAGCAAACAGGAUUAGAUACCCUGGUAGUCCAUGCCGUAAACGUUGGGCACUAGGUGUGGGGAUUUAUCAACGAUCUCCGCGCCGUCGCUAACGCAUUAAGUGCCCCGCCUGGGGAGUCGG
Molecule: ribosomal RNA, 638 nt
Filed under: uncultured Actinomycetes bacterium
Lineage: Bacteria; Bacillati; Actinomycetota; Actinomycetes
Description: bacterial SSU rRNA
Rfam family: Bacterial small subunit ribosomal RNA
Source: RNAcentral